RNAcentral lists this transfer RNA (74 nucleotides) under Paractinoplanes rishiriensis. Its description in RNAcentral is "Actinoplanes rishiriensis tRNA-His". It matches the Rfam family "tRNA". Rfam says of the family: Transfer RNA (tRNA) molecules are approximately 80 nucleotides in length. The record is from RNAcentral. Lineage: Bacteria; Bacillati; Actinomycetota; Actinomycetes; Micromonosporales; Micromonosporaceae.
GUGACUGUAGCUCAAUGGCAGAGCGCCAGGCUGUGGCCCUGGAUGUGCCGGUUCGACUCCGGCCAGUCACCCCA